UGCAGGCUCAUACAUUGCCUUCCUUCAGACGCACUGAUUGGUUCAGACGUGGGCACAUGAUCUAAGGUGGCAGAUUAAGAGUUUAUUGCAUUAGAAUGAAAUGAGCGUGAGUUCGAAAUGGAAUACAUAUAGUAGUACCCUUCUAUUCGGACAUCUCAUUGAUAGGAAACAAAACUAUGUCAUGCAUUGAAAUAGAACUUUAUAACCAUAGCAUUGCAAAGCAAGAAAUUAAUCCAAAGGUUGCCCAAUCCAAGAUAUUCAAAGCAGAAAUCCACUCUAGCUUGAAACAUGAACGACUCAUGCUGUUCCCUCUGCAUUCCAUUCAGCCAAUUAUUAUUAUUAUUGUCAUCAUCAUCAUCAUCAUCAUCAUCAUUAUUAUUUAUCUCUUCAGGACAGGAAAUUGUGUGCAGAAAUCCAGAGGCUUCUGCACUUUUCCAGAGCAGGUGGUGGGCUCCCAAGCUUCGCCAAAGGAGGUUGUACUUUCACUAAGUACCACAAAGUACCAAGGCAGAGGCUGAAAUGGCACUUGUCCAAUAUCUUUACCAAAAAUAACUUGAGCUUUGGCCCCGUGGCCCGCAGCUCUCAGUGGGAGUGUCACAGAUACAUAAGCAGCCUUUCCUCCAAAGCGAGUCAGCGCUAAGGAAAAUGCUUUGCCCGACACUAAGGAGAGAGGCUGUCUGCUCUGCGGCCAGGUCUCCCUUCCCCAGUCAUUACCCACCCGAAGAAGGAUGACUUGGAAGAUGACAUCGAAAUCAGAUGGGAGAAAAUCUGGGCACAGAUAAACAAAGUCCCUGUCCCCAUGGAGCUUACACCCUAGUAGGAGAAAGCCUUCUGAGUGAUUCUCCUGCUAUAAGGCACAUGAUCAUCGACUAACGCAGACGGAAUGGUUUGGAAAUCCCGCUUCCCCAGUUUCUGCACAGAAGCCCCAGCACCCUGCAUUCGAAUGUUUUCUAAAUGCUCCUCCCCCAGACUUUUGAGAGUUCUUCUGAAAUCGAGUCAACAGGAAGAGUCACACUUACCAUUCUGUUACAAAGCCAUAUCAUAACCAUUAAAACAGAUGUAAAA
This 1065-nucleotide long non-coding RNA is filed under the name Equus asinus (donkey). RNAcentral's name for it is "lncRNA (ENSEASG00005025338.1)". The record is from RNAcentral. Lineage: Eukaryota; Metazoa; Chordata; Mammalia; Perissodactyla; Equidae.